UGGGAAGUAUUGCGUCAAUGGCAGGAAAGCCAUGACCGCAGCGACGCCGCGUGGGGGGAUGACGGCCUUCGGGUUGUAAACCUCUUUCAGCAGGGACGAAGCGGAAGUGACGGUACCUGCAGAAGAAGCACCGGCCAACUACGUGCCAGCAGCCGCGGUAAUACGUAGGGUGCAAGCGUUGUCCGGAAUUAUUGGGCGUAAAGAGCUCGUAGGCGGUUCGUCGCGUCGGCUGUGAAAACCUGAGGCUCAACCUCAGGCCUGCAGUCGAUACGGGCGGACUUGAGUACUGCAGGGGAGACUGGAAUUCCUGGUGUAGCGGUGAAAUGCGCAGAUAUCA
This 337-nucleotide ribosomal RNA is filed under the name uncultured Blastococcus sp. RNAcentral's name for it is "bacterial SSU rRNA". It matches the Rfam family "Bacterial small subunit ribosomal RNA", at positions 355 to 699 of the family's 1533-position model. Lineage: Bacteria; Bacillati; Actinomycetota; Actinomycetes; Geodermatophilales; Geodermatophilaceae. The record is from RNAcentral.